This 20-nucleotide small nuclear RNA is filed under the name Arabidopsis thaliana (thale cress). RNAcentral describes it as "snRNA_01614". The record is from RNAcentral. Lineage: Eukaryota; Viridiplantae; Streptophyta; Magnoliopsida; Brassicales; Brassicaceae.
AUGCGUCCUGGUCGGAUGCG